This 418-nucleotide RNase P RNA is filed under the name Skermania pinensis. Its description in RNAcentral is "Skermania piniformis Bacterial RNase P class A". It matches the Rfam family "Bacterial RNase P class A". Rfam says of the family: Ribonuclease P (RNase P) is a ubiquitous endoribonuclease, found in archaea, bacteria and eukarya as well as chloroplasts and mitochondria. Its best characterised activity is the generation of mature 5'-ends of tRNAs by cleaving the 5'-leader elements of precursor-tRNAs. Cellular RNase Ps are ribonucleoproteins. The record is from RNAcentral. Lineage: Bacteria; Bacillati; Actinomycetota; Actinomycetes; Mycobacteriales; Gordoniaceae.
CGAGUCGGCCGGGCGGUCGCGGCAGCCGGUACCGGCGUCGGGUGUUUCGGCAUCACGACGCGCUGGCCGGAUGUCGAGGAAAGUCCGGACUCCACAGGGCAGGGCGGUUGCCAACGGCAACCCGGGGCGACCCGCGGGACAGUGCCACAGAGAACAGACCGCCGGCGCGAGCCGGUAAGGGUGAAACGGUGCGGUAAGAGCGCACCAGCGGCUCGGGUGACCGGGCCGGCUCGGUAAACCCCGCCCGGAGCAAGGUCGAAGGUCGCACUCACCGGAGUGCGGCUGCGCAGGUGUUCGAGGGCUGCCCGCCCGAGCCUGCGGGUGGACCGCUUGAGGUACCCGGCGACGGUGUGCCCAGAUGGAUGAUCGCCGCCGGCUUCGGCCGGCACAGGAUCCGGCUUACAGGCCGGCUCGUCCG